AGCUACAGCGACACAGCAACCACAAAACCCAGAACCACUGCAGGCUGCACUUGUGGUUUGUUGACAGGGACGCUUGGGAACAACCCCUCUGCAGAGAAAGGACAUAUCUGGGACUCCAUGAGGAGGACAGCUCUCAUCCUGGGCUUGGGGCUGCUCUUGUUGGCUGCCUUCUGGAACUCAAUCACAUGGUUUCCAACAUGUUGCCAGUUAUGGUGGGUCCUCUAGCAAUGGGCUCUCACUUGUCUUCUAUUACCGUGUGGUUAUCCCUGGUUCUCAUCGUCAGCUCGAUCACCCACUGUGGCUACCACUUACCCUUCCUGCCUUCACCUGAGUUCCAUGACUACCACCAUCUCAAGAUCUGGACCUUCUGAAUCUUGGGAGCCUUGAAUCUUCUCCUCAGAACCCAUGUACAUAAAAACCUGACACACUGAAUGAAGCAUCUUAGUUUUGAGACAGGGUUUCUCUAUGUAGUUCUGGGUGUCCUAAAACUUAAUAUAUGAGACCUUGCUGGUCUCAAACUC
This 521-nucleotide long non-coding RNA is filed under the name Rattus norvegicus (Norway rat). Its description in RNAcentral is "long non-coding RNA NONRATT005450". Lineage: Eukaryota; Metazoa; Chordata; Mammalia; Rodentia; Muridae. The record is from RNAcentral.